This 1095-nucleotide ribosomal RNA is filed under the name Limosilactobacillus fermentum. RNAcentral's name for it is "bacterial SSU rRNA". It matches the Rfam family "Bacterial small subunit ribosomal RNA", at positions 66 to 1137 of the family's 1533-position model. Lineage: Bacteria; Bacillati; Bacillota; Bacilli; Lactobacillales; Lactobacillaceae. The record is from RNAcentral.
UGAGGUGCUUGCACCUGAUUGAUUUUGGUCGCCAACGAGUGGCGGACGGGUGAGUAACACGUAGGUAACCUGCCCAGAAGCGGGGGACAACAUUUGGAAACAGAUGCUAAUACCGCAUAACAACGUUGUUCGCAUGAACAACGCUUAAAAGAUGGCUUCUCGCUAUCACUUCUGGAUGGACCUGCGGUGCAUUAGCUUGUUGGUGGGGUAAUGGCCUACCAAGGCGAUGAUGCAUAGCCGAGUUGAGAGACUGAUCGGCCACAAUGGGACUGAGACACGGCCCAUACUCCUACGGGAGGCAGCAGUAGGGAAUCUUCCACAAUGGGCGCAAGCCUGAUGGAGCAACACCGCGUGAGUGAAGAAGGGUUUCGGCUCGUAAAGCUCUGUUGUUAAAGAAGAACACGUAUGAGAGUAACUGUUCAUACGUUGACGGUAUUUAACCAGAAAGUCACGGCUAACUACGUGCCAGCAGCCGCGGUAAUACGUAGGUGGCAAGCGUUAUCCGGAUUUAUUGGGCGUAAAGAGAGUGCAGGCGGUUUUCUAAGUCUGAUGUGAAAGCCUUCGGCUUAACCGGAGAAGUGCAUCGGAAACUGGAUAACUUGAGUGCAGAAGAGGGUAGUGGAACUCCAUGUGUAGCGGUGGAAUGCGUAGAUAUAUGGAAGAACACCAGUGGCGAAGGCGGCUACCUGGUCUGCAACUGACGCUGAGACUCGAAAGCAUGGGUAGCGAACAGGAUUAGAUACCCUGGUAGUCCAUGCCGUAAACGAUGAGUGCUAGGUGUUGGAGGGUUUCCGCCCUUCAGUGCCGGAGCUAACGCAUUAAGCACUCCGCCUGGGGAGUACGACCGCAAGGUUGAAACUCAAAGGAAUUGACGGGGGCCCGCACAAGCGGUGGAGCAUGUGGUUUAAUUCGAAGCUACGCGAAGAACCUUACCAGGUCUUGACAUCUUGCGCCAACCCUAGAGAUAGGGCGUUUCCUUCGGGAACGCAAUGACAGGGGGUGCAUGGUCGUCGUCAGCUCGUGUCGGGAGAUGUUGGGUUAAGUCCCGCAACGAGCGCAACCCUUGUUACUAGGUUGCCAGCAUUAAGUUGGGCA